RNAcentral lists this long non-coding RNA (555 nucleotides) under Anser brachyrhynchus (Pink-footed goose). RNAcentral describes it as "lncRNA (ENSABRG00000009876.1)". The record is from RNAcentral. Lineage: Eukaryota; Metazoa; Chordata; Aves; Anseriformes; Anatidae.
UGCUAGGAUACCAUUUGGUGGUCAACUGUCUCCAGUGCAGCUGCUAUUACUUGCCAGACUGACAGACAUAUUAGCUUUUAUCCCCCCUAAUGCUCGGGCUACAGAAAGUUUCCCUUCAUUUUAUUCCAUUUUGAUUUGGGGGGAGAGAUCAAGGUAAAGGUGCAGAAAGUACAGAAACACAAAGAAGCUACGGUGCACUUGAAUGUUGGUCUUCAUAUAUUUGAGAUGUGAUGAUUCCUGACAGCAACAGUGUCUUCAGAAUCAGGCACUGAGAGAAGGCGACCUCUAACAGAUGAAUGGCAGUGCUCAAAUUCAGAUUUAAGAAUUGGAUUAUGACUGAAGUGAUAGCACUCCUAUAUGACUGUCAACAUUUACUCUUUAUUCCAGAAAGAAAUGCAAAAAUGUUACAUUUUCAGAUGUCUGUCUUAACUGUAAUUCUUCACAGAAACUACUUGCUGCCAAGUUAAUGAAGAAUGGAACAUUCAGCAAAAUAGAAAAUCCAUAUCAACAUCACCCCAGAUAAUAUCACUUAAUAAAGAGUUUAAUAUCACUUCA